CCUACGGGGGACAGCAGUGAGGAAUAUUGGUCAAUGGGAGAGAUCCUGAACCAGCCAAGCCGCGUGAGGGAAGACGGCCCUAUGGGUUGUAAACCUCUUUUGUCGGAGAACAAAACCCGGGACGUGUCCCGGACUGCGUGUAUCCGAAGAAAAAGCAUCGGCUAACUCCGUGCCAGCAGCCGCGGUAAUACGGAGGAUGCGAGCGUUAUCCGGAUUUAUUGGGUUUAAGGGGUGCGUAGGCGGUCCGUUAAGUCAGCGAUAAAAUUGCGGGGCUCAACCCCGUCGAGCCGUGGAAACUGGCAGACUGGAGUGGGCGAGAAGUACGCGGAAUGCGCGGUGUAGCGGUGAAAUGCAUAGAUAUCGCGCAGAACUCCGAUUGCGAAGGCAGCGUACCGGCGCCAGACUGACGCUGAGGCACGAAAGCGUGGGGAUCGAACAGGAUUAGAUACCCCUGUAGUC
RNAcentral lists this ribosomal RNA (459 nucleotides) under uncultured bacterium. Its description in RNAcentral is "partial 16S ribosomal RNA". It matches the Rfam family "Bacterial small subunit ribosomal RNA", at positions 338 to 795 of the family's 1533-position model. The record is from RNAcentral.